AACGCACAUUGCGCCCUUUGGUAUUCCGAAGGGCAUGCCUGUUCGAGCGUCAUUAUCACCCCUCAAGCCCUGUGCUUGAUGUUGGAGGGCUUUGGUCUCUCGGCCAACCCCUCCCAAAGACAAUGACGGCGGCCUGUGGGACCCCCGGUACACUGAGCUUUUAACUGAGCACGUAUCGGAUGAGGGUGCCCAGGACACGGUCUUUAUUUUACCACUAAGGUUGACCUCGGAUCAGGUAGGAAUACGCGCUGAACUUAA
RNAcentral lists this unclassified non-coding RNA (258 nucleotides) under uncultured fungus. RNAcentral's name for it is "sequence contains ITS2". The stretch from base 1 to 52 matches the Rfam family "5.8S ribosomal RNA", at positions 103 to 154 of the family's 154-position model. The record is from RNAcentral. Lineage: Eukaryota; Fungi.